UACGAAGGGGGCUAGCGUUGCUCGGAAUCACUGGGCGUAAAGCGCACGUAGGCGGACUCUUAAGUCGGUGGUGAAAUCCUGGAGCUCAACUCCAGAACUGCCUUCGAUACUGAGAGUCUCGAGUCCGAGAGAGGUGAGUGGAACUGCGAGUGUAGAGGUGAAAUUCGUAGAUAUUAGGAAGAACACCAAUGGCGAAGGCAGCUCUCUGGGACGGUACUGACGCUGAGACGCGAAAGCGUGGGGAGCGAACAGG
RNAcentral lists this ribosomal RNA (253 nucleotides) under uncultured bacterium. RNAcentral's name for it is "partial 16S ribosomal RNA". It matches the Rfam family "Bacterial small subunit ribosomal RNA", at positions 524 to 776 of the family's 1533-position model. The record is from RNAcentral.